GACGAACGCUGGCGGCGUGCCUAAUACAUGCAAGUUGAGCGCUGAAGGUUGGUACUUGUACCAACUGGAUGAGCAGCGAACGGGUGAGUAACGCGUGGGGAAUCUGCCUUUGAGCGGGGGACAGCAUUUGGAAACGAAUGCUAAUACCGCAUAAAAACUUUAAACACAAGUUUUAAGUUUGAAAGAUGCAAUUGCAUCACUCAAAGAUGAUCCCGCGUUGUAUUAGCUAGCUGGUGAGGUAAAGGCUCACCAAGGCGAUGAUACAUAGCCGACCUGAGAGGGUGAUCGGCCACAUUGGGACUGAGACACGGCCCAAACUCCUACGGGAGGCAGCAGUAGGGAAUCUUCGGCAAUGGACGAAAGUCUGACCAAGCAACGCCGCGUGAGUGAAGAAGGUUUUCGGAUCGUAAAACUCUGUUGGUAGAGAAGAACGUUGGUGAGAGUGGAAAGCUCAUCAAGUGACGGUAACUACCCAGAAAGGGACGGCUAACUACGUG
This 497-nucleotide ribosomal RNA is filed under the name uncultured bacterium. RNAcentral's name for it is "partial 16S ribosomal RNA". It matches the Rfam family "Bacterial small subunit ribosomal RNA", at positions 28 to 507 of the family's 1533-position model. The record is from RNAcentral.